This 249-nucleotide ribosomal RNA is filed under the name Triticum aestivum (bread wheat). Its description in RNAcentral is "partial small subunit ribosomal RNA". The record is from RNAcentral. Lineage: Eukaryota; Viridiplantae; Streptophyta; Magnoliopsida; Poales; Poaceae.
AUGUGUGUUCCAAAAGAUCAAGGAUAUAUGGGCUUUAGAGAUAUAAAUUGUUUUAAUCUGGCAUUGUUAGCUAAACAAGGUUGCCGUCUUUUGGAUAAUCCUGAUUCCUUAUGUGCAAAAAUCUUCAGAGCCAAGUAUUUCCCUGAGGGUGCUUUGAUGAAUGCAAAUUUAAGAAAGGGUCCUCUUUUACUUGGCAAACAUUAUGCCGGGAGUCAACUCUCUCAGAAAAGGUUAUAUAUGGCGAGUUAG